Molecule: ribosomal RNA, 253 nt
Filed under: uncultured bacterium
Lineage: Bacteria
Description: partial 16S ribosomal RNA
Rfam family: Bacterial small subunit ribosomal RNA
Source: RNAcentral
UACGUAGGGUGCAAGCGUUGUCCGGAAUUAUUGGGCGUAAAGAGCUCGUAGGCGGUUUGUCGCGUCCGCUGUGAAAGUUCGGGGCUCAACCCCGGAACUGCAGUGGGUACGGGCAGACUAGAGUGCGGGAGAGGAGACUGGAAUUCCUGGUGUAGCGGUGGAAUGCGCAGAUAUCAGGAGGAACACCAGUGGCGAAGGCGGGUCUCGGGGCCGCAACUGACGCUGAGGAGCGAAAGCGUGGGGAGCGAACAGG